Felis catus (domestic cat) is the source of this 3109-nucleotide long non-coding RNA. RefSeq lists it as uncharacterized. The record is from RefSeq and is a predicted model, not a curated record. Lineage: Eukaryota; Metazoa; Chordata; Mammalia; Carnivora; Felidae. The transcript has 4 exons.
UAUAACAACAGGGAGGGAGAUAAAACAGAAGAGACUCUUAAAUACAGAGGACAGAGGGGUGCUGGAAGGGUUGUGGGUGGGGGGAUGGGCUACAUGGGUAGAGGGCAUUAAGGAACACACUUGUGGGGUGUUAUACGCAGGGGAUGAAUCACUGGAACCUACUGUUGAAAUCGUUAUUGCGCUAUAUGCUAACUAACUUGGAUGUAAAUUAAAAAAAUAAUCGAUUAAUUAAUUAAAUUUAAAAAAUAAAAUAAACAUUGGGAAAGACAAAGAAAAGUAGGGGCUCUUGUGCCAGAAAGAUAAUGGACAUCUUAGGAGAGGUGUGGCCUUGAACAAGCACAGGGCCUCCCUGAGUCUCGGUUCCUCCCCCCGAAGCUGAAUGCACACUUUUCAAGACUGUGUUUGGGGUGAGAUUCAGUAAUGACACUACAGUCAUACUAACUUCUUUCUAGUGCCUCUCGUGCCGAGUAUUUUCAUUUGCUUUACUCAUUUAAUCUCACCACCAUCCCGAGAGGUGGGAUUUUUGUCCCCGUCUCCAGACGAAAGCUAAAGUUGAGAGGAGGGGUUAGACCAACAACCGAUGAAUGGCCGGACUUUGCCUAGAAACCAGGCCUCCUAAAUCCUACCCGGCGCUCAGACGCAGGAGUGAAGAUUUACAUCGAUUUGUGUGCACCUGCCUGAGUGCCAGGAGCGGCCAAGCCCAGGCAAAACUUUGAAGUAAGCCAAGUACCUGGUUUUUUCCCCAGGAUCACACUCCCCACUCACACUGCUGCACCCCCCCAGCCUCCCCCCCCCCGCCCCGGAACAGAACGCUGGGCCAUAACUGCCGUCUGCUCAGGGGCUGGCAAACUUUUUCUAUAGACGACCAGAUAGCAAAUAGUUCAGCUUGGGCAGUAUGUAAACAACUGGGUGUGGUGCGUUCUAAUAAAACCUCACUUAUAAAAAUAGGACCACGGGCCAUCGUGUGCACACCCCUGUUUAACUUAGCGCACACUCUGGUGUCCCAUCUCGUAGCCAGUCUGCUCUGUGCUCAUGACAAUGGGUAGGAGGCGGUAUUGCCCAAAGUGUGGUUUACACCGUGGGUGUAUGCAAAGCCCUUUAGAUGUUACAGAGAUACUCUUCAUUUUAAUAAUUAUGUAUUUAAAUGAAUGUGUAUUGUAAAAUACGUAAUUAGCCCAUAGAACUCAUGAUUGCUCAUCGAUCCAUUCACUCGUAUAACAAAUAUUUGUUCAGCCCCUACGAUGGUCCAGGCACCGCUCUAGAUGCUGGAGAUUCGGAAAUGAGUCAGCCAGACAAAAAUCCCCGCCCUCGUGGAGCUCACACUCCAGGAGGGGAGACACAACAUAGUGGCCACGUGUUGUUCAGUAUCAGUUGUCAGAAGAUGAGGUGAGAAGCUGAGAUACCUCGGUGUGUUUAGGUGUCAGGUGUUGAGGCUCAACCACUGACCCUUCUCCCGGGGUCCAGCAUGCUGAUGCCAUCCCUUCUGGUCUCCAUGCCACAAGCUCCAGUGCUCUGCUCCCCCGCGCCCCCUUCAGGAAAGCCAGUGGGCACCUUGAGGUUGGGAUUCAGAGCCCAUAAUCUGCUUUGUCCCCUUAACCCUAAAUAUUAGUGAGUUUUAAAUAGCCUCUGAGCCCCAGCUGUCCUUAGAAGCCCCGUCCGCAGUGAUGUUUGGACUCUCCGGGCAGCGAGGGGGGCCGGGAAAGCUCUGGGCAGCCUCCCCCGGCUUGCAGUGGGCACAUGGCAGGGUGACUUCACCUCCUCAUGCUUCCAGGUGAGCGCCGGGGAGGGUGGGGCCCAGCCAGGGUGGGGAGACGGGUUUGUAGCCUUGGGUUCCCCUCCCGCUGCAUCUUGACUCAGUUGCUCCAAACAAACGGAAGAUUUGCUCUUGGCACCAACAACUACCUUAACCCAUGCUCUCAACCUCCGUGGCAGAUGCAGGGCAAGGAGCAGAGAGCGUGGGGGGUAGAUCUUGGGCGCGAGGCCACCCGGUUGAUGAGCGCUAAGGGCCCUAACUCACUGUACCCAGCACCCCCCUUCCAGCUGAUCAGGAGUCCCGGUGAUUACUCGGGGAGAUGACAGUUCGACCACCGUGCAGACCUUCGGACCGACUCGAGAGAAGGCCCCACCUGUGGCCGGCGCCCAAGGCGGAUGGAUCCUGCUCCCCGCUGCCCCUGCACGAGGAAGGCUCGGCUUUCUAACAGCGGGCCCUCCUCGCUCACAGCCCGGAGUGGUCCAGAGCUGAGCAAAGAAGAUCUGACGAAUCAGACAGCACAGGAGGAGGGCCGAAGAAGUGGCUGUUCUGAUCCUGUGACCUCCAUUCCUUCUUCUCCUGUUUUCAGUGGGCUCUCAAUGUUUUUGGUUCCUGCCCUCCGACAUGGAAUUGAGGUACGUCUGAGAUAGAGCUGGUGCCUCUUCCAGAGGUGGACCAACUGUGGGCUUUUGACAGGACUGCUGUGUACGGUUAUACAUGCUGUGCACUGCACUUGACCAUCACAACUGAGGGGUUCCAGUCACACCGUGGGUAGUUAAUGCAUAAGCACGCCUGAAUCAUGCAGAGUUUGUGGGCUUCCAAGACGAGUCCUGAGUAGCUAGAGGGAACCCCCUCCUCCAUUAAACUGUACAAGUUCAUGUAGCCAUGUAUACACACACACUCACUGGUCCUCUUCUGACUACAUUCUUACAUUCCCAGAGACUGUAUCUCUCUCAUCCCAGGAGGCUUGAAUUCAACCUUCCAUCUGACUCCACACCUGACACCAUCAGCUCCCACGGCAUGGGGAUAGGGGACAUUGAGCGUGUGCCUUAUGGCCUGGGGUGUGUGUGUGUGUGUGUGUGUGUGUGUGUGUGUGUGUGUGUGUGAGUGAGGGCACCACCACACAGGUGCAUGGUGAACUGCUACAGCUGAUCCUGGAAAGUUCCUAGACCAAGCCUAGGGGCCCGUCUGUGACAAAGGUUGUCCCUGUCACAUGACACUGCUGUGUACAUGAUACGUGUAACUAAAAGGAAACAACCAAAAUGUGAACAGGGCUCUUUCUGGGUCAUGACAUCACCAGCGAUAGUAUAAUCUUUGCUUUUUUUUUUUUUUAAUUUUUUUUUCAACGUUUUUUAUUUA